Vicugna pacos (alpaca) is the source of this 107-nucleotide small nuclear RNA. The record is from Ensembl. NCBI's taxonomy places the organism in Eukaryota, Metazoa, Chordata, Mammalia, Artiodactyla, Camelidae.
GCUGUGUUUGCUUGGAAAGCAGGUGCUCAUUGAAAAUGAUCCAGAGAAAAUUAGCUUGGCCCCUGGUCAAGGACGACACCCAAACUUAUGAUGCGGUCCAUAUUUUG